UAGAGUUUGAUCCUGGCUCAGAACGAACGCUGGCGGCAUGCCUAACACAUGCAAGUCGAACGGGAUCCUGGCUUCGGUCAGGUGAGAGUGGCGGACGGGUGAGUAACGCGUGGGAACCUGCCCAGUGGUGGGGGAUAACUGCGGGAAACUGCAGCUAAUACCGCAUGAGCCCGAGAGGGGAAAGAUUUAUCGCCAUUGGAGGGGCCCGCGUUCGAUUAGGUAGUUGGUGAGGUAAUGGCUCACCAAGCCGACGAUCGAUAGCUGGUCUGAGAGGAUGAUCAGCCACACUGGGACUGAGAUACGGCCCAGACUCCUACGGGAGGCAGCAGUGGGGAAUAUUGGACAAUGGGCGCAAGCCUGAUCCAGCCAUGCCGCGUGAGUGACGAAGGUCUUCGGAUUGUAAAGCUCUUUUGGCGGGGACGAUAAUGACGGUACCCGCAGAAUAAGCCCCGGCUAACUUCGUGCCAGCAGCCCCGGUCAA
Molecule: ribosomal RNA, 481 nt
Filed under: uncultured bacterium
Lineage: Bacteria
Description: bacterial SSU rRNA
Rfam family: Bacterial small subunit ribosomal RNA
Source: RNAcentral